AAAAAAUCUGGAGAACACCUCCCAAAAAAAAAUCAGGAAGGGCCCCAAAAAUAUCGGGGGGACCCCAAAAAAUUCCCCAAAUUUUCCACCGAGGCCUUGGCACCCCAAAAUUUACCCUGAGGGGCAAAAUUUGGGAGGGAGCCCCCUAAAAAAUCAGAAUUUUCCCCGAAAAUCCCCAAAUUUGGGUUGUUUUGGGGUUUUCUUUGUGCUGGAUUUGAAUGGGGGACCCCAAAAUUUGACACCUCAAAUUUGUCACCCAGGUGUUAUUUCCCAGCGUUUUGGGGUGAUUUCUCAUCAUUUUGGGGUCAUUCCUGACCACUUUGGCCUCCUUGCCACCACCCCGGUGGUCACUCCCUCAGUGUCCAGCAGCGUCCAGGUGUCCGGCGGUCACUCCCCACAAUUUUGGGGUCACUUCGAGUCACUUCAGGGGUCACUUCAUGUCCCUUUGGUGGUCACUUCGUGGUCACUUCGCCCUCCUUGUCCCCCCUCAAUGUCCAGCGGUCACUCCCCACCACUCUGGGGUCACUCUCCACCAUUUUGGGGUCACUUCGAGCCACUUCAGGGGUCACUCUGUGCCACUCUGGUGGUCACUUUGUGGUCACUUCGCCCCCAGGCCAGUGGUCACCGCCUCAAUGUCCAGCGGUCACUCCCCACGAUUUUGGGGACACUUUGUGCCACUUUGGGGUCACUUUGUGCCACUUUGGGGGUCACUUUGUGCCACUCUGGU
This 727-nucleotide long non-coding RNA is filed under the name Junco hyemalis (dark-eyed junco). RNAcentral describes it as "lncRNA (ENSJHYG00000010808.1)". The record is from RNAcentral. Lineage: Eukaryota; Metazoa; Chordata; Aves; Passeriformes; Passerellidae.